This 520-nucleotide unclassified non-coding RNA is filed under the name uncultured Glomus. RNAcentral's name for it is "SSU rRNA". It matches the Rfam family "Eukaryotic small subunit ribosomal RNA", at positions 569 to 1091 of the family's 1831-position model. Lineage: Eukaryota; Fungi; Glomeromycota; Glomeromycetes; Glomerales; Glomeraceae. The record is from RNAcentral.
AGCAGCCGCGGUAAUUCCAGCUCCAAUAGCGUAUAUUAAAGUUGUUGCAGUUAAAAAGCUCGUAGUUGAAUUUCGGGAUCAAAGAAUCGGUCAUGCCUUGGUAUGUACUGGUUUUAUUGGUUCUCACCUUCUAAAGAACCAUGAUGUCAUUCAUUUGAUGUUAUGGGGAAUUAGGACUGUUACCUUGAAAAAAUUAGAGUGUUUAAAGCAGGCUCACGCUUGAAUACAUUAGCAUGGAAUAAUGAAAUAGGACGUUUGAUUCUAUUUUGUUGGUUUCUAGGAUCGACGUAAUGAUUAAUAGGGAUAGUUGGGGGCAUUAGUAUUCAAUUGUCAGAGGUGAAAUUCUUGGAUUUAUUGAGGACUAACUACUGCGAAAGCAUUUGCCAAGGAUGUUUUCAUUAAUCAAGAACGAAAGUUAGGGGAUCGAAGACGAUCAGAUACCGUCGUAGUCUUGACCAUAAACUAUGCCGACUAGGGAUCGGAUGAUGUUAAUUUUUUAAUGACUCAUUCGGCGCCUUAC